RNAcentral lists this unclassified non-coding RNA (339 nucleotides) under Clostridioides difficile. Its description in RNAcentral is "16S-23S ribosomal RNA intergenic spacer (ISR)". Lineage: Bacteria; Bacillati; Bacillota; Clostridia; Peptostreptococcales; Peptostreptococcaceae. The record is from RNAcentral.
ACCUACUGUUUAAUUUUGAGGGUUCGUUUUUACGAAUACUCAAAAUUAGCACUUUAAGCAACAGAAUAAACUGAACGCAUGUGAAGUUUGUUUGUUGGCGCUGUGCGUUGGCACUUUAAGUAACGGAAUAAUCUGAGUGAAUACGAAGGUUGUUCGUUGACGUGGUGCGUUAGCACUUUAAGCAACUGGAUUUAUCCGUUGGCGCCGUGCUUUAGCACUUUGAAAACUGCAUAUAUAUUUAGUGAUAUGACAUCCAAUUUGUAAUAUAUAAAGCUGAUAACUUUUUAAAAUUAUCGAAGUUGAUAGCUUCUAAUCUAUCAAACCUUUUUAACUGGUCAA